AAGCUCGUCUCCUCCUUUCUGUUGGAAACGAAAACGAGGGCGAGAUGAAUGGAUAAAAAAAACGAGGGCGAGAGGUGAUUGAUCUCCAACGACGGAGAUGGUGAGGUGAGGUUAGGCUUGAGGCGCUCUGCGGCUGCUCGCGCCAACUACGGCGGGCCGCGCCAAUAUGCGAGGCGGCGAUCCCCUUCUCAUCCUCACUGGCCCCUACCCCUGGGCCGUUUGGAAGGGGCACAGAGGUGAGCAACAGACCACCGCCGUCGAUGAAGGCAGGAGGUCAUCCCUGAUUCGAUGCUUCUGAUGAGCAAAUCUAGGGUUAAUUUUUUUUAUCCCCGGGAAUUCAGUACGACGUUCCUAUUUUGUGCGGAUCUGUGUUUUUGGUAUAUCGAUUCUCCCCAUUGCAUGUUUACAUUACCAAAGUUUUGAUUGGGAAUUGGGAUCGUUUAAAAUGGUGAUGUAUUGCCUCAUUAUGUUGCAAGUAUAAUGAGGCAAUACAUCAACAUUUCAAACGUUUGAAAUGGUAAUGAAUCAUGUAUGCUCCAAAUCGUCCACUAUGCUUCCGACCUGCAGUCCUGCACUAGCAAUCUAAUUUCGGUCUUGCAACGGCAUAGUAGGUUCAAUGCGACCUCCCUAUAGUAAUGAAUUUUCAUGUAUUCAAUGACAUCAGUAACCUCAUUUAUGUGUUGAUUAAUGCCACUAUGCUCCCAACAUUGUCCUCGCUGGCCUGUACAAUGUUCACUGUUUUAAUUUCUUUUCACUCAGUGCUUAUUCUGCUAAGUUGAAUGGAUAACUCACGCUUGAGCUGCUGAAUGGAUAAUUUACGUACUGAUUUCAAUUGAAAACUUAUGUAUUUAGGAUGACAUCCUUAUUACAGUGCCACCUGCAUUACAUGGUCAUUCAGUUUAAGCCUUUAUUUGGCCCCUCUUGACAGUUUCAAUGGCUGCUGCGUGUCUCCGCCAAGAUUCUAGCCAGACCUGCAAAUUUCUGUAGCCGGUGAAGUCAUCACACAGUUUGAGGCCUCAUAAAAUUAAGUCCAGUUGUCUUUUGGGGGUUCUCCUCGAAAUUGAGCGGUGUAAAUUUAGCAGUACCGCUUGACAUCCACAAGUUUAGAUGUGCCGGGAAUGAACAAAAACAUGCAGUUUGUUUUCAAGGCAUCGCCUAGGCGACAAGGUGGUGGUGGCUCGCCUUGCCUAAGGUGUCGCCUUAGCCCGCCUAGGCGUCGCCCAGGCAAUAAGGCGGCGGUGGCUCACCUUACCUCGCCUUAACGCUUUAAAAACACAUCCUAUAUUGAGUCAAAAACAUUCAGCUCUAGCGUCAUAUAUUAGGUGAACCUCUGCUUGAAACUUUGGCUCUGAUUCGCUUGUUAUUCAGCUGCAUAGUAUUGCCAAUUCAUGGUUUUGUUUGUUUGCAAUCUUGAAGAUGAAUCUGAACUUGAAAGCGAGCAAGCUCUCUGAAGAUAAUCUCUUCAGGAUGCUUUAUGAAAUUUCCAUCAAGCUCAAAAAUUGAGAUCCUAUAGUAUAGGAUAGUGGCAGUGGUUAAAUUUCAUAGAACAUGUUCGAACUUAAGAGAGCACAUUUUCUCUUUCUUUUUUUUCAAAUAUUACGGCAAGUUUAUUGCUGAUAAGAAAUGAAAAAUACGCAAGUCUAAUCCCAAUCAUAUACUGGCAACACAGUAGAUUACUAUUGUCAGUAGAUUAUUAUAGAUCUGUUGAAGUUUUAUGUAUCUAGAGUUUGCUUCUUGCCACUAUCUCCUUUUCUUGCUCGAUACAUAAGAUAAGAAUUGCUGCUGUUUUAUUUUACCCAAGUUUUAUGUUCAGGAUCUUAACGUCUCUCUCUUGAAUCUGGCACAUAGUCACAACCUUAUAAUGCUUUCUUAUUGGAUAACAUUAGAAUCUUUACUGAUUGAGCCCUUUCUUGAGGUACGCACCUCCUAGAAAUGCUUGUUAACUGGGCUCUGAAAAAUGCGGAAGGGGUGCACAAUUGCAUCUGAUUUUUUCCAUAUAAAUUUUGAUACUCAGACCUCAAAUUCCCUAAUUGCUUGGAAUGCCAAGUAGAGGAUUGCCAACUUUUGUUUGGAGUGUCAAACUAAGGUGACACACUUUCGAAAGCAUUCCUGGCUCAGCAUGCACUGAGUCUUAUCAAGAUCAAUGGAUACAUAGCUAUCAUGUUUCGACCUUUUCCUUCUUGUUUUCAGAACCAACCAAGUUCAUAUUUAGAUAAUUUGAUAUAUUUUUUCCAAAGUUCGCUUCAGAUGAAUAUUCUUAGAUGGGCAUCUGCUGAUUGAGAAGCUACUUGGGCUUACAUAGGAAACAUGGACAUAUCAGCCCAUCAUCCAUCACACAAAAUUUAGUGAGAUAUGUCCGUUCUGGGCCAACACAUUUGAUCCGAUACUACUUUUAUAUAAUAUGAUUUGCAUUUUCUCCAUCAAAGCUACAAGAAAGCUGAGUUUGCGCAUAAGAAAUGACGUACCAAAGGCUAUUCUACUCAUGUGGCCAGCAAUUUCACAGAAUCAAUGUUCUCACAUCCUCUUACUGUUUACUGUAGUGUUGCCAUAUUUUUUAUCACCCUCGGAUUCUUUUCUCUGCUGUAACCGUGGCAUGUGACCCGUUUUUGGUCUUAUAAUGUACUUUUGUAGUUAUCUAAUUGAACACCUGGCCCACUUGCCCAACACACUUUUGUCACAUCUUAUGGGUAACAUGAUGACAACUUCUCAAAGUUUGCCUGAAAACGAAGGAUGGUACAGAUGGGCAUCCAAGUGAAGUGAUAAAUCUUGUCACUUUCAUACAAAUGUGAACUCCCACAAGUAUGUAAUAUCAUGCAUUGCCAUCACCCUUCAGCUAACAUGUUGUUCUGAGUUAAGAUGUGAGAUAUGCUGUUUCUUGCGGAUUCCCUGAAGUUUACACUGAAGUUGAUCUUCUUGGAAUUGUUUCCUAUCAUGUAGUUAGUUUCAGUUCAUAGAGAAACUAGUCAAUUAGUGCAUACAUUAUAAAACUAUUUACUACUCCCUCUGUUUUUAUUUACGUGUCGUAUUAGGUUUGUCCUAAGUCAAACUUGGCUAACUUUGACCAAGUCUAUAGAAAAAUAUAGCACCAACUAUACUAUCCAACACAUGCACUAUCGACAUAUAUUUCAUGGUGGAUCCAAUGAAACAAAUUUGGUAUUGUAAAUGUUAUUAUUUCUUUCUAUAAAUUUGGUCAAAGUUUGCUAAGUUUGACUUAAGACAAACUUAAUACGACAUGUAAAUAAAAAUAGAGGGAGUAUAUUGUGGUUGUUGCACUUCCAAGCAAUCUGUUUAAUUGCAAAUUCAAUGUUAACGAUGGGAGAAGAGAAAAGCAGAAGAUGUUAGUUAUGAGGCCAUGUGCAAAAGAAGGGCACAACGACACAAGUGGGAGCAACAGUUGGAUGGGGGUAACAUGGGAUUGGAGCAAUGUCUGUCCAUGUUACUUAGUGUGUAUUUCUGUAUAGCUUUCAAUCUUGGCUGGACUCCUCUGGCAAGGGAAUAACAACAACCAACUUAAUAUCCCCACUUCCACUUUAUCUCUUUAUCCUUUUAUGUUAUUCCAUGGGCAAAGAUAACAGUGGGGCUACAGUGAUGCCUUUCUUUCUUUUCAUUUAUGAAAUUGGGAGAAACACUACCAAGAAUGCUUGAGUGUCUCUUUCAUAUUGAACCUAGCUGAUUCACAGUUAAGGGCUUCCAUGCUUAUUAUUGCGUGGGCAACAUCAAUUACAUACAUAUUGAUUGAGUAUCUUGCGCUGCUUUUAACAGGGUGAAUAUCUGAAAAAGCUGCCAGAGGAUGCAUGACAACCACAGUAAUAAUUUUGGUGCAGUUGUUAAGAUGUAGAGUGAACCUGUCCAAGUCAAUAAUGGUAGAGAGCAAUGGAUACAUGUGAAACAUUUCAAGUCCUACAUGUCGAGGAAAAUGAUAGGACAAGAAAAGAAAGAUAUGUCCAGAUCGGCGCUUAUAAUUCAGCGCUCCAUCCAGCAUCACGGGACCAUGCAUAAUAAUAAUGGUUCACUUGUUAGGCUGUACUGUGUGGACGAGCACCGAAAUGGACCCCCUUGAGGCGUUUUAUUCUGAAGUGAAUGAUCGCCACGGCUUAUCUACAGCAUGGGCGCCCUUGCAUUCAUUUUGCUUGGUACAGUCUCCCUCUCUUUGCGCUUCUUCAUUGUAAAAAUGCAUUAUUGAUCUUCAAUGUAUCAUAUGUUUCAAUUCUACCGAACCUUUCGAUUGUAAUCUACUGUCUUUUUAAUAGCAUUCACACUAUGCUACCUUCUACUACAGUAUUAUAUUUUUCUGUAUGUCUUGGUAACAGACUGUGAUAGUGGUUAAAACCAUCUGCUUCUGUACUUUUGGGGCAGAUGCAUACACAUAUCAUUCAGCCGUAUGUGCAGGUGCAGCCUUGCAAGUCACGCAACAGCGUGCCCAAAAGCAAGUGUGUUUCAACGCUUGUUGGCGGCGCAGCUAGAGAGGUGCGUGGGAUGACCGGCCGCACUCCGAUCCCAUCCCAGUGGAGAUGAAAAUGAAAUGAAGCAGCUCAUGCAUGCAUCAUGAUGUCGUUGCAGCUCGGGCAGCGCGUGUUAACCCAGACCCACUAGUAGCUCCCCAGUUUGUCGCCUCAGCCAUGCGAGAUGCCUUUCUGUCUAUGCCUUUGCUCGAUGCUUCACCAAGGUAAAUCUGUUGCCGCUACUGCUACUGCUAUCUUAGGCUCUGUUUGGAUCCAUGGACUAAAUCUUAGGCCUAAAGUUUAGUCCACUAGAUGAUGCAAAUAGGUGGACUAAAAUUUAGUUCCAUCCUAACUAAAGUGUAGUCCAUUAUUAGUCAAUAAAAUCCACCUAAUAACUUGGACUAAAGUUUAGUUUUCACACCCAUUCAUAUGUUUAAAAUAGUUUCUUACAAGUUUAAUCCAUGGAUCCAAACCGACAGUUAGUCCUACAAAUGGGGCCUUAGUAAUAUAUUUGGGGCAACGUUGGAGGACAAUUAUUCGAACAACUAUGUGUGGCAAUUAAUUGAAGGAAGCAUCAUGGCAGAUGGGACACUUUGAUUUUUGCCAAAUCCUGCCCUUGCAAUCAAAGAGCGCAUCGUUUUCACUGACCCGCACGGCAUUAAACGAGAGGAUACCAUCAGCACCGUACCACCAGCGACCUAGGAUAGGAUAGACCGAAUCAAUCCUCGCUCCAUGUUUCUUUUGAAACAGAGUUUUUAUAGCCACCAGCCAGUCAGCAAUACUUUUUUUCUCCCAGCAAAUCAGUACCAGCCACAGUCAGCCAGCAGAACGGAGUGUGUUAAUGAAACAGUUGUCCGCCUGUAGCUUUCCGAGCAGAGAAGGGCAGUAAAGCCAGCUAGCGUUGGCGGCUUAACAUAUAGUGGUGCGUGAUUGGUGACAUAUAAACGAGGCAAGUGCAACUAUAUAUAAUGCUUUGAACAUGACAAGCAAGCUUAUUAGUUGCAGCAAUAUAAUGCGUGAUGGCGCCACACGAGUCACGACACGAGCACGUAAUGGUGACAUAUAAAGAAGCUUAUUAGUUACUUCUUUUAUGUCGUUUUGUGUCAAGUUAUUCUUCAUUUGUAACACCAAUUGUUUUUCUUGAUAUGAAUCAGAUAUGAGAUAUCUUUUUGGUGUCUUUCUCAAAAAACGAAAAAAAGUUUAGCACUUGGUGGAUCCAAACGGGCCUUUAUUCUUGACCUUAAUUAAUUUGGAUAUAUCUACUUUCUUUUCUUUGGCCGGUAUAUAUGCAUGUAUUUCGUACGUACUGUGCUUGAGAAGACUUUGCUAUCGAUCAGUAAGUAAUUCCGAUCGAAUUCAUCAAGCCGUACGUACGUGUUUAUUUGGAACGCACGCAAUCAAGAAAGCGCCUGCACUGCUGUACACUUGUACAGUCAGUUCCCUAGCUAUAGUGGCAAGUGAAGAAUUUUCACCGGAUUGGAAUUCGUUCAUCAGUGGACCAUGCCAUGGAUCAGUGCGUACCUACUCAUACUCUGAUGAUCGGAUCUACUGGAGCAUGCAUGCAUGUCAGGCAGGCUUGUGAGGCGUGAAGCUGCAGCCGGCCGGAAGAGAGAGCAUGUGUGCAUGGCUUUUACGGAGUAAGUUUUUAACCAUCUCUUGUUGCAGGAGAGUACUGUACUGUGCCGGUGAGGCAGAGCUGAGGGGGGGAAAAAAGAGAGCAGAAGCUGGAUAUGGUCGGAUCGGGGCAUCUUCGUUCUCUAGCUAGCUCCGAUCCUGUCUCGCUGCUCGCAUCAGAUAGAUGGCAUCGGUAGAUCACUGCAUGCUGUGAUCUACCGAUCCAUGCACACUGUAGCUGGCCUCCUCGCUGUGCUGCUAACAUCUGCAUGCUGUGCAUCGCUGGAUUCCAAAAGGUAGUGUGCGCAUGCCAUGCGUCGGGGACGGUUAGCGAGCACCGAUCCCACAGCUAGUAGCUACCCCUCCCAGGCCAUUAAAAAACCACUUUUAUUAUGACACCACCACACCAGAGAGGCAGCAGAGGGUGAGGCAGGGACCUCACCUCGCUUGGCCUGCAGCCGUUUAUACGGAUCCGGCGCUGACCCGGAACUAUAAUUUUGUAAGGCUGCCAAAUCUAACCUGGCACUAACAUCGAGGUCCCCCAGCAUUCCAUUUCCUCCAGAGCGCUCACAUGCACGUCACGCACUAGUAAGUAUUUACUCAAUCAAAGGGUAUUUCGAGUACAAUUUGGUUUUAGAUCUCAGAUCUUGUGUGUGUUUUUUUCUUCUUCUAAUAUUGUAGCUUACUUGCAUUGGAAACCCUAUAAGUAAUAAAUAGAUAAAUUGAAAAAAAUACAAUUACCACCUCAUCGUAAAUACUGAGAUCAAGCCAUGCUCCAAUGGUUAGAGUAGUUUAUAUUUAACAAGAGCUGUUACGUACUGAGAUCUAUAGGGGAAUAUUAAUAUAAAGGUAGUAGUUGACAAUAAACUAAACUGAUCACUUUGGAUCCCAAGAGAAUAACCUCACUUGGGAUCCCAAGAGAAUAACCACAACUCGGAUUGUAUUUUAAUGCAACUAUAUGUACCCAUAUUGCCCAGCCAUCCAUCCUGAUCAAAAUAAGUUGAAAGAUCACAAGAGACUCUAACCGCAGGCAGGUUCAAUACAAAUAGUUAAAAAUAAUCAGCAGCUGUUACAUGCAUGCAUGCAUGUAGAACCUCAAGAAAUUUACAUUUACCAACUAAUAAGUGUACAUAUAUAUAGUUUAACAGUCAUUAAUAUAACCACAGUAGUAUAUGUAAUAACGAAUUUAUAAAUUACAUAAUGGACAGUUCAGUAACUCUUCUGAAAAGGGGAAAGAAAAAAGAAAGGCCCAAAAGUAUACCCAAAAAAAAUAAAGAAAUUCCCGCAAGAGCACAUUAUUCUCCCUCAGCUCUAGACAAGCAAUGUCCUUGUGCUUUUGUACCAUACAAGGUAACUGUAUAUAUAGCAGGGUAAAA
Molecule: long non-coding RNA, 7432 nt
Organism: Panicum virgatum (switchgrass)
Lineage: Eukaryota; Viridiplantae; Streptophyta; Magnoliopsida; Poales; Poaceae
Exons: 4
Source: RefSeq, a predicted model, not a curated record